Molecule: ribosomal RNA, 482 nt
Filed under: uncultured bacterium
Lineage: Bacteria
Description: partial 16S ribosomal RNA
Rfam family: Bacterial small subunit ribosomal RNA
Source: RNAcentral
AUUGAACGCUGGCGGCAUGCUUUACACAUGCAAGUCGAACGGUAACAGCACUUCGGUGGCUGACGAGUGGCGAACGGGUGAGUAAUACAUCGGAACGUGCCUAGUAGUGGGGGAUAACUACUCGAAAGAGUAGCUAAUACCGCAUGAGAUUUAAGGAUGAAAGCAGGGGACCUUCGGGCCUUGCGCUACUAGAGCGGCUGAUGGCAGAUUAGGUAGUUGGUGGGAUAAAAGCUUACCAAGCCGACGAUCUGUAGCUGGUCUGAGAGGACGACCAGCCACACUGGGACUGAGACACGGCCCAGACUCCUACGGGAGGCAGCAGUGGGGAAUUUUGGACAAUGGGCGCAAGCCUGAUCCAGCAAUGCCGCGUGCAGGAUGAAGGCCUUCGGGUUGUAAACUGCUUUUGUACGGAACGAAAAGCCCUCUUCUAAUACAGGAGGGUCAUGACGGUACCGUAAGAAUAAGCACCGGCUAACUACGUG